This 72-nucleotide transfer RNA is filed under the name Sus scrofa (pig). It matches the Rfam family "tRNA". From Rfam's summary of the family: Transfer RNA (tRNA) molecules are approximately 80 nucleotides in length. Their secondary structure includes four short double-helical elements and three loops (D, anti-codon, and T loops). The record is from Rfam by way of RNAcentral. Lineage: Eukaryota; Metazoa; Chordata; Mammalia; Artiodactyla; Suidae.
UCCCUGGUGGUCUAAUAGUUAGGAUUCAGCGUUUUCACCACUGUGGCCCAGGUUCAAUUCCUGGUCUGAGAA